CACGUAGGGGGCGAGCGUUGUCCGGAUUUAUUGGGCGUAAAGAGCUCGUAGGCGGUUUCGUAAGUCGGAUGUGAAAACUCCAGGCUCAACUUGGAGACGCCAUUCGAUACUGCGAUGACUUGAGUCCGGUAGGGGAGUGUGGAAUUCCUGGUGUAGCGGUGAAAUGCGUAGAUAUCGUAAGGAAGACCAGUGGCGAAGGCGGGUCUCUGGACAGUUCCUGACGCUGAGGCACGAAGGCCAGGGGAGCAAACGGG
RNAcentral lists this ribosomal RNA (254 nucleotides) under uncultured bacterium. RNAcentral describes it as "partial 16S ribosomal RNA". It matches the Rfam family "Bacterial small subunit ribosomal RNA", at positions 524 to 776 of the family's 1533-position model. The record is from RNAcentral.